GAUGAACGCUGGCGGCGUGCCUAAUACAUGCAAGUCGAGCGAACGGACGAGAAGCUUGCUUCUCUGAUGUUAGCGGCGGACGGGUGAGUAACACGUGGAUAACCUACCUAUAAGACUGGGAUAACUUCGGGAAACCGUAGCUAAUACCGGAUAAUAUUUUGAACCGCAUGGUUCAAAAGUGAAAGACGGUCUUGCUGUCACUUAUAGAUGGAUCCGCGCUGCAUUAGCUAGUUGGUAAGGUAACGGCUUACCAAGGCAACGAUGCAUAGCCGACCUGAGAGGGUGAUCGGCCACACUGGAACUGAGACACGGUCCAGACUCCUACGGGAGGCAGCAGUAGGGAAUCUUCCGCAAUGGGCGAAAGCCUGACGGAGCAACGCCGCGUGAGUGAUGAAGGUCUUCGGAUCGUAAAACUCUGUUAUUAGGGAAGAACAUAAGUGUAAGUAGCUGUGCACAUCUUGACGGUACCUAAUCAGAAAGCCACGGCUAACUACGUG
RNAcentral lists this ribosomal RNA (497 nucleotides) under uncultured bacterium. RNAcentral's name for it is "partial 16S ribosomal RNA". It matches the Rfam family "Bacterial small subunit ribosomal RNA", at positions 28 to 507 of the family's 1533-position model. The record is from RNAcentral.